Molecule: long non-coding RNA, 1232 nt
Filed under: Macaca mulatta (Rhesus monkey)
Lineage: Eukaryota; Metazoa; Chordata; Mammalia; Primates; Cercopithecidae
Description: lncRNA (ENSMMUG00000054332.1)
Source: RNAcentral
ACAUAGAAGAAAGUCAUGAUUCUAAAAGGCCAACUUUUAAUUUUACAUUUUCCUUUGCAGUAUAGAACCUACACAAGAAAUAAGAUGAAAACAACCGCUGCUCAUUCCACCGUACCAGCUUUUCAUUAUCUGCAUCUGCAGCUGAAGAGAGUGCACCAUGUCUCAAAGAUGUUAAUGUUCGCGUGUCAAAUCUCACAUUCUUGAGAGCUAUAGUGUCCACCCAUGCACCUUUACCUGAAGUCCAGCUACUUCUGCAACAGCCAUGUUCUUCUGGACUCAGUAAUAGCAAUUCAGCAACCCCUCACCUCAGCCCUCCUGAUUGGUGGAAGAAAGCCCCUGCAGGACCCUCUCUGGAAGAAAGGUAUUGGCUCUUCUGGCAAGGGGCUCCUUUUCAAUGACUCAAGCCUACUUGAUGGAACUUGGAGAGGUGAUUUGCAAGUGCAUGGGGGAAGCAGAUCCAUCCAUUCAGCUUCAUGGAGCAAAGGUAAUUUUCAUCAAAACCACAACGCUUUUUCCUUCUCGUCACUUUAUAUCCCUCCUUUUCUUCACUUUAUAUUCUUCUGCCACAUGUCCUUCAAUUCUGAGAUUUCUUAAAGAGAUUUCAGGUGAGGAAGACUAUACAUUCUUCUGUUUUCAGCUGUUACAUGUAAACCCCAAGAAUUGAUUCGGUAACAAAUGAAUAAGAUAUAGCUGUUGAUUUCAGUCCUUGAAAGAAUGCCUCUGUUAAGAGUGACUGAAAAAAGGAAGAAAAUGAGUUGUAAAUUAUGUUUCCCCUUGACUUGAGGUGAUCUCCAAACUUAAGUGCAGUUGUCUGUUAGUCCUAAUACUCUGCUUUGGUAAUUCUUUUUUCUUGGCAGCUUCUGGAAGAACUGGGCACAGGCUUAAUACAGCAGUAUCAACUGGAUUCUACUGUAGCACCUGAUCAGAGAGUAUCAGUCUUCUUGGUAAAUAAAUGUCAAUUCAUAGUUUUCUUUUAUUGGUGCUUCAGUUGCAGUUUUAUUUUGAAGUUCAGUGGUAAGUGGAAUAGAUGGUAUGGUGUCUUCCAGUGUCAAAAAUUGUGUUUUAUAAUCCAGGAAAACAUGAAACUAGUAUAAAUGGGUUUUAUUUUACAUUUCAGUUUAUUUGCAAUUUAGUAUGCGGUAGGCUUAUGUAACCAGCAAUAGUAAAACUAAUAUUUCUUUUGCAUAAAACCUAGUCUGGUUAUUCAGCCUGCCCAAGAGACAAAGAGCCAG